UGUGGGUAUUCAUAGAUUGAUAAUAUAUUAAUUUAUUUCCUUUAUCAUGGUAGCUACAACAUUUGAGUACAUAGCAUAAAAUCACGAAUAAUAGUUUUACAUGAUUUCUUUACCAUCUUUAGCACAAAAACAACGACCGUUUCUACAAUAACAACAUACUGGGAAAACUCCUCCUUGACAAAAACAAUCAUUGUCUACUUUACAUGGCCCCCCGGCAUUAAUUCCUAUUUUUUGAUCCACAGCUUUAUCCUCCAAACCUGA
Molecule: long non-coding RNA, 261 nt
Filed under: Lupinus angustifolius (narrow-leaved blue lupine)
Lineage: Eukaryota; Viridiplantae; Streptophyta; Magnoliopsida; Fabales; Fabaceae
Description: long non-coding RNA (LANG_LNC001528)
Source: RNAcentral